GUGAAUACAUCAGUUAAGUUUAAGACGUGGAUGUUGAACGUGGAAGGUGUUGUGCACGCAAGAGGGAAAGCCAGCAAGGAAGCAAGAUGGUCAGACAGAUAAAAAGUGACUUCAACUGAACAGAAAUACUUCGUGUCAUGGUUCCUUCUUUGGUCUUGAGCUUUUUGAAAGAUCGGUAAAAGCAGAACCAUAAUUAUUUGAAACUACAUAUAAUUCUCUCUCAUUGAAUCUCAGCAUUUUCCUAUCUCUGUCUCUCUUUCUCACUCUCUGUGGACAACUGGAUUCAUUGUUGCAGCUUCAGAACACCGAAGUCUCUGUGGAAUAACUAAAAUUAACCUAUCUGCAAGUUAUU
Populus trichocarpa (black cottonwood) is the source of this 352-nucleotide long non-coding RNA. RefSeq lists it as uncharacterized. Lineage: Eukaryota; Viridiplantae; Streptophyta; Magnoliopsida; Malpighiales; Salicaceae. The record is from RefSeq and is a predicted model, not a curated record. The transcript is spliced from 2 exons.